RNAcentral lists this ribosomal RNA (492 nucleotides) under uncultured bacterium. RNAcentral's name for it is "partial 16S ribosomal RNA". It matches the Rfam family "Bacterial small subunit ribosomal RNA", at positions 29 to 507 of the family's 1533-position model. The record is from RNAcentral.
AGUGAACGCUGGCGGUAGGCCUAACACAUGCAAGUCGAACGGCAGCACAGUAAGAGCUUGCUCUUACGGGUGGCGAGUGGCGGACGGGUGAGGAAUACAUCGGAAUCUACUUUUUCGUGGGGGAUAACGUAGGGAAACUUACGCUAAUACCGCAUACGACCUACGGGUGAAAGCAGGGGAUCUUCGGACCUUGCGCGAUUGAAUGAGCCGAUGUCGGAUUAGCUAGUUGGCGGGGUAAAGGCCCACCAAGGCGACGAUCCGUAGCUGGUCUGAGAGGAUGAUCAGCCACACUGGAACUGAGACACGGUCCAGACUCCUACGGGAGGCAGCAGUGGGGAAUAUUGGGCAAUGGGCGCAAGCCUGAUCCAGCCAUACCGCGUGGGUGAAGAAGGCCUUCGGGUUGUGAAGCCCUUUUGUUGGGAAAGAAAAGCAGCAGGUUAAUACCCCGCUGUUCUGACGGUACCCAAAGAAUAAGCACCGGCUAACUUCGUG